Long non-coding RNA from Oxyura jamaicensis (ruddy duck), 1051 nucleotides. RefSeq lists it as uncharacterized. The record is from RefSeq and is a predicted model, not a curated record. NCBI's taxonomy places the organism in Eukaryota, Metazoa, Chordata, Aves, Anseriformes, Anatidae. The transcript has 4 exons.
CUGGUGAGCAUGCAUAUAAGCAUAUGUAUUUGGAAGCUUCUGGGGACUGCUUUUCUGUUUAUUGACCUCUGAUUUUCCAUUAUAUGUCCUUCUUGGACUGGAAAACAAAGAUGGGAGAUUACUGCACCCAGGCACCACUUCAGAAAGGACAAAAACCUUAAACUAUCAUCAUAAGGAAAGCUUUUUUCAGUUCUUCAUUCCUAUGGACCAGGUCCAGGAAGCCACAGAGAAUAGGGAGGGGGCACCCUAUGAGGAGCCUGAAAUUCCUCCUGCACUCUCUUUACCUGAUUUUGCCUAGGAAGAAAACUUGUGAAGAAUGAUACAAGUCACAUCAGGCAAUCAACUUGCCACAGUGAGGUGUAGAUGAGGUCUACAGCUUAUGUAACUCUGGGAGGUGAUUGCCCUAAGAUAUGAUCAAGACCAGCUGGAUUGUAUGCAUUCAUGUUUUCCAAGCCAGGAGACCAACAGCCUAAAUAUCUCCAUGAAAAUGAAGUUGGCUGUCUGUCAGGUAAGCGAAUCUCAAAUUCUUUAACAUAGGAAGCCUGAAUCCAGCUAUCUGUCUAGUUUGAAUACAUGAGUAAUCUCAGCGACCAUAUAUUGUUAGUCUAAACAAACAUGUUACAGUCCUUCCAAGAAUGAGCAGGAUGCUAGUCCAGACUACGAAGCACUGCUGUGAUAACCUUACUGAGAAAAUGGUUGACCAACUUUUUUUUUAGUUCUGGCUUUUGAAUUAUAGCAUAAUUCAAACUACAGAUUUCAGUUAUCAGUCAUAGAAAAGCCAUAGGUGACCAUUGUAAAGUCUGUAUUUUAAACAAAGAUGAGUAUCUGGUUAAAUAUAGUAUCUGAAACCCUGUUCAUUCAGGAGCAAGAUCCAAAAGUGGGAAUGCUUUAAAGUUCAUGACCUUUUAAUUUCUUCUGGGUGAUUCUUAAACUGUCCACUAAUGACAGUCCUAACUCUGUGAAGUUUGCCAUGCUGUAUUAUUAUAGUAAAGGACCACCUGGACUAACCUGAUCACCAAGCCUUCUCCUGACACCUUUGUAACAUUCUUCA